UGGUUUAUUCGAACCAGAGUUACUGUCAC
Molecule: non-coding RNA, 29 nt
Filed under: Mus musculus (house mouse)
Lineage: Eukaryota; Metazoa; Chordata; Mammalia; Rodentia; Muridae
Source: RNAcentral